RNA transcript from Rosa rugosa (rugosa rose), 806 nucleotides. It is a transcript of the gene named acyl-CoA-binding domain-containing protein 4-like, with no coding region annotated. The record is from RefSeq and is a predicted model, not a curated record. The transcript is spliced from 3 exons. Lineage: Eukaryota; Viridiplantae; Streptophyta; Magnoliopsida; Rosales; Rosaceae.
CUCUUAACUGACCUCACCGCCAUGGCUCGACGAUCAGUAGUGAUCCUCCGACCUCCACCACCUCCUAACAAAGCCCCGAUAGGUCACCUGCAUGCCUUGACCCGACGAUAGAGCUCCGCGUGUGGUAUGAUCUCUGGUGACGGAAUCGAACCGCUUGUCACGAACACCGUCGCGCCUCUUGAAUUCUUGCUCAGACGACGCAAAGGCAAUCUUCACUGCUAUGAUUGUCAGAGGCGAGCUCGGGCGAGCAUAAAUGGCUAUAGAUCGGGCGAGCUCGGGGCUCCAAUACCCUGAGCGGUUCUACGUGGCAGCCUCCUACGCCGGUUUUGACGGAUCUCCUCGCUCCUCGUCUAAAGCCGUUCGCGCCAAGUUCAACUCUGAGUCCGCUCUCAUCCUCUACGCUCUCUAUAAGCAGUGAUAGUGUUUUGGCAACCAUGGUGAAAAGCAAAUUGAUGGAUCCGUUUUACGGCUUGGUAAAUGAAUAUCAAUCAUAGAUAUUGUUGAUUCAGGGAGGCAGUGGUGCACAUUCUGGUACUUUAAGACCUUUCAGUGUAAGCUGUCAGGUACUCAGCACCUGGAUCUGAAUUUCAGUGGAAUCAAUUACUAUGCAGAGGUAUAUUUAAAUGGGCACAAAAAGGUCCUUCCAAGAGGGAUGUUUCGAAGGCAUUCUCUAGAUGUCACUGAUAUAGUACAUGACAGUGAAAAUAUGCUUGCUGUUGUUGUUUACCCCAGAUCAUUGUGGUUAUGUUUUAUUUUGUUUAAUGCGCUUAUGGGAGGUUGUCCUAAUUGAAAAAAGUGUUUUGGUU